Molecule: ribosomal RNA, 249 nt
Filed under: uncultured bacterium
Lineage: Bacteria
Description: partial 16S ribosomal RNA
Rfam family: Bacterial small subunit ribosomal RNA
Source: RNAcentral
AUACGUAGGGGGCAAGCGUUAUCCGGAUUUACUGGGUGUAAAGGGAGUCGUAGACGGUUCUGCAAAGUCUGGAGUGAAAGCCCGGGGCUCAACCCCGGGACUGCUUUGGAAACUGUGGAACUGGAGUGCAGGAGAGGUAAGUGGAAUUCCUAGUGCAGCGGUGAAAUGCGUAGAUAUUAGGAGGAACACCAGUGGCGAAGGCGGCUUACUGGACUGUAACUGACGUUGAGGCUCGAAAGCGUGGGGAGC